RNAcentral lists this long non-coding RNA (220 nucleotides) under Phaseolus vulgaris (common bean). RNAcentral's name for it is "long non-coding RNA (PVUL_LNC001496)". Lineage: Eukaryota; Viridiplantae; Streptophyta; Magnoliopsida; Fabales; Fabaceae. The record is from RNAcentral.
AACCGAACAAAAAUGAAAUUAAAAGGCAAAGAACUGAAAAUGAUUGCUGGAAAAUAAGAACAGCCGAACCAAAGCUCAAGAACACAAGACAGAAUUUCAAGGAAACAAGCUUAAACAUGAACAAUUGAAAGAGAAGGAAGGAAGGAGAAAAGAAUGCUCAUGAAGAUGGAUGUAAGGUUGGAUGAUCACGCCACUAGAAGGAUGGUUGCUCCUAGAUGAG